Non-coding RNA from Schizosaccharomyces pombe (fission yeast), 359 nucleotides. NCBI's taxonomy places the organism in Eukaryota, Fungi, Ascomycota, Schizosaccharomycetes, Schizosaccharomycetales, Schizosaccharomycetaceae. The record is from the annotation of a GenBank genome assembly.
CAUGUAAAUUCUUUUUUGCUCGCAAUGUUAAAAUCCGCAUACUUCAUCAACAAUCUCAUCCAUAAAUUCGACUGUAGCUGUAUCCAUAGAGAUAUUAUAUCCUUGGCGUUUAUACUUAUCGCUUAACUCAACCAAAUGAGGUAUUGCCAUGCCGGUAGCUUGGUAUAAUAUAGAUCCACUAAGCCUGUUGUUAGCAUAUGACUCGCAAGAAGUUCAUUUUACGUACUCAAUAUCAAGCUUCUUUCUCAUGCGUCGAAUCAUAGCAAUCAGGUGUGUUUUUCUUCGAAUAAUUAUACCUUUGCGAAAAGCAGGCGCACGUUUAAUUCUUUCUACCGACAUUUCAACAUAAGGAGAACGAA